RNAcentral lists this ribosomal RNA (257 nucleotides) under uncultured bacterium. RNAcentral describes it as "partial 16S ribosomal RNA". It matches the Rfam family "Bacterial small subunit ribosomal RNA", at positions 521 to 777 of the family's 1533-position model. The record is from RNAcentral.
UACGGGGGGGGGGGCAAGCGUUGUUCGGAAUUACUGGGCGUAAAGGGCUCGUAGGUGGCCAACUAAGUCAGACGUGAAAUCCCUCGGCUUAACCGGGGAACUGCGUCUGAUACUGGAUGGCUUGAGUUCGGGAGAGGGAUGCGGAAUUCCAGGUGUAGCGGUGAAAUGCGUAGAUAUCUGGAGGAACACCGGUGGCGAAGGCGGCAUCCUGGACCGACACUGACGCUGAGGAGCGAAAGCCAGGGGAGCAAACGGGG